GUGGGCGUAGCUCAGUGGUAGAGCGCCACCUUGCCAAGGUGGAAGUCGCGAGUUCAAGCCUCGUCACCCACUCCA
This 75-nucleotide transfer RNA is filed under the name Rickettsiales bacterium. RNAcentral describes it as "tRNA-Gly". It matches the Rfam family "tRNA". From Rfam's summary of the family: Transfer RNA (tRNA) molecules are approximately 80 nucleotides in length. Their secondary structure includes four short double-helical elements and three loops (D, anti-codon, and T loops). The record is from RNAcentral. Lineage: Bacteria; Pseudomonadati; Pseudomonadota; Alphaproteobacteria; Rickettsiales.